Molecule: ribosomal RNA, 459 nt
Filed under: uncultured bacterium
Lineage: Bacteria
Description: partial 16S ribosomal RNA
Rfam family: Bacterial small subunit ribosomal RNA
Source: RNAcentral
GAUGAACGCUGGCGGCGUGCCUAAUACAUGCAAGUCGAGCGGUAAGGCCUCUUCGGAAGUACACGAGCGGCGGGCGGCUGAGUAACGCGUAGGAACGUACCCCAAAGUGAGGGAUAAGCACCAGAAAUGGUGUCUAAUACCGCAUGUGGCCCACGGGCUAAAGCUUCGGCGCUUUGGGAACGGCCUGCGUAAGAUUAGCUAGUUGGUGAGGUAAUGGCUCACCAAGGCGACGAUCUUUAGCUGGUCUGAGAGGAUGAUCAGCCAGACUGGGACUGAGACACGGCCCAGACUCCUACGGGAGGCAGCAGUAGGGAAUUUUCCACAAUGGGCGAAAGCCUGAUGGAGCAACGCCGCGUGCAGGAUGAAUGCCUUCGGGUUGUAAACUGCUUUUAUAUGCGACGAAUAUGACGGUAGCAUAUGAAUAAGGAUCGGCUAACUCCGUGCCAGCCGCCGCCGUAA